AAUGGCCGGGACAAAGGUUCUAAUCCUGCAAUGGUGAGCUAACCCCAAAAACUCAUCCUUAGUUUGGAUUGCAAGCUACAACUCACCUGCAUGAAG
RNAcentral lists this ribosomal RNA (96 nucleotides) under Olea europaea subsp. europaea. Its description in RNAcentral is "SSU_rRNA_bacteria". The record is from RNAcentral. Lineage: Eukaryota; Viridiplantae; Streptophyta; Magnoliopsida; Lamiales; Oleaceae.